Dermochelys coriacea (leatherback sea turtle) is the source of this 559-nucleotide long non-coding RNA. RefSeq lists it as uncharacterized. The record is from RefSeq and is a predicted model, not a curated record. NCBI's taxonomy places the organism in Eukaryota, Metazoa, Chordata, Testudines, Dermochelyidae. The transcript has 3 exons.
GUGAGACAGAGCCUUGGAGAGUCAGGGAGGGCAGAUGAAUGUUGCCUGAAGCAAAGAGCUGAAGGAGAACAGUAACUGUGAACCGCCAGUGAGGAGCUUGGAGGAAGCUGUUGAAUUGAUAAGUGGGAACUGAAAAGGACCUUGAAGAAUUGAUGCCCCAGUUUCCCAACAAGAGGAUGCCAAGUAUUCUAUCUGAGAGUUAUCAUGUGAUAUGGAACUCCCCUAAAUAGGGCUGCCUGGUGUCAUUCCAGAUACUUAAUCAGAGCAUUGAGUCCUGAAGUGAGGAGGAGGGGAAAGUCUAACCUGGCUGAACUCACUGCAGUGAGCCACUGCAAGAGAUAGGGAUUGCUGGAACCUGAAGGCCCAGUUUUGGAGUUGUGGAGGCCAUGGGCCUGCCUCUGUGAAACCGUGAGGAUUCUUAAAGUCCAGCACACUAGAGGGAUACUCACAAGACACUGGUUAACGGCUGGGGCAUAGACCAGACCCUGUGAAUCUGUGACACAAACAUUUUUGAUGUAACUGAGUUAUCUCAAUGAAAAAUGUGAAUGAUUGAUUUUUA